Molecule: ribosomal RNA, 546 nt
Filed under: Acaromyces ingoldii
Lineage: Eukaryota; Fungi; Basidiomycota; Exobasidiomycetes; Exobasidiales; Cryptobasidiaceae
Description: eukaryotic LSU rRNA
Rfam family: 5.8S ribosomal RNA (bases 178-330)
Source: RNAcentral
UCCGUAGGUGAACCUGCGGAAGGAUCAUUAGGGAAUUAUAAAAUCGGCUUGCCCCUCUCGAGGGUGCUCGCCGUAAUUUCUAUCCACAAAACACCGUGAACCCUCGAAAGAGGCGUAAUUUUUUUCUAUAAAAAACACAAAGUCUAUGAAAGUAACAAAACAAACAAAACAAAAUAAAACUUUUGACAACGGAUCUCUUGGUUCUCCCAUCGAUGAAGAACGCAGCGAAACGCGAUAGGUAUUGUGAAUUGCAGAAUCAGGGAAUCAUCGAAUUUUUGAACGCACCUUGCGCUCCCUGGUAUUCCUAGGAGCAUGCCUGUUUGAGUGUUGAUAGCCUCUCCAAACCUUGGUUUUUUCAUUAAAUCGAGUGCUUUGGGUCCCUGGGCCUGUAGCGGCGACGUUACUUGCCUUAAAAGGAUCAAAGAAGACCCAAUCGGAUGUUAAGCAUGAUAUCCUUUGGGGUCUUUGAACGACUAUAAACUAUAUAUACAACCUCAAAUCAGGUAGGACUACCCGCUGAACUUAAGCAUAUCAAUAAGCGGAGGA